UGUUGUUGUUGCUGUUAAAAGAAAAAAAUGGUCUGUAGCUGCAAGGAGUUACGGGCCUGAAAUUUUCUUACCCGGCAGGCAGACUUAAAUGUGGAUCAGCAGAUACCAACGCCCUUAACCCAGGCUCCAGUUUCAAAGGGGAGCGGGCAUGGGAUACACCCUGGAGAAUCUGAAGAUGCCAAAUAAAUGGAAGGAAUCAGCAGGCAGUAUUGUAACCUGCUGUGCGAUCUUCACGAAGGAUGAGGCCAUGACUGGCAGGGGGACUCUCAAAGAUCAGCUAAAUCUGGCAUAUGAUGUGAAGUCAUCUAAAGGAGAAAAAACUUACUGCAUUAAUCCACACCAGGGUGAUGGAAAAGAAGUUGAAGUCUGAAUUGGGAAACCAUCUGGAUAGUUCCAUCAAAGCAGCAGUAAGUCAGCGAAAACCAAGGAGGACCUGCCAGGGUGACACAGACAUCUGUGGGUUUCUGUGAUUCUUUAUUACAAAUUUAAACACUGCUGAGGUGGGUGCAUCAGGCUGGUCUUAAGGUAAAGGGUAGAGAGGGACCUUAGGGAGGCUAUUACUCACCAGUUAAAGAAUUGCUCUAUAGGAAUGAUCUCUUUAAGAGAAUGCACACAGAAUAAUAAAGGCAAAGUGAAGGGACUAUCCCAGGAGACAAAUAUGGCAGGUUAUGAAGCUGCGGAUUAUAUAAGAGUCGAGAUGAUAGCAGUGUGCAAAUAGUUUUUAUGGAUUGAAAUACUCCUUCCAACUAUAAUUAAGCAGAGUCGACAGUCUUGAAUGUUUAAUCAUAUGCUUAACUGUUGAAUGUAUUUACAUCCCAGGCAAUAGCAGCCAAUCUAUUUCUUAUUCUGAUGACACGUCACAACCAGAAUCCAAGCUUGGUUGGAAAUGCAUUAUUUAAACGUGAAUAAAUGACUACUGAUACAGUUCAGUUGGGCUUAAAAAGAUUGUAUCUCACAUACACAAA
Molecule: long non-coding RNA, 965 nt
Organism: Mirounga angustirostris (Northern elephant seal)
Lineage: Eukaryota; Metazoa; Chordata; Mammalia; Carnivora; Phocidae
Exons: 2
Source: RefSeq, a predicted model, not a curated record